RNAcentral lists this ribosomal RNA (468 nucleotides) under uncultured bacterium. Its description in RNAcentral is "partial 16S ribosomal RNA". It matches the Rfam family "Bacterial small subunit ribosomal RNA", at positions 28 to 507 of the family's 1533-position model. The record is from RNAcentral.
GACGAACGCUGGCGGCGUGCUUAACACAUGCAAGUCGAACGGAAAGGCCCUGCUUUUGUGGGGUGCUCGAGGGGCGAACGGGUGAGUAACACGUGAGUAACCUGCCCUUGACUUUGGGAUAACGUCAGGAAACUGGGGCUAAUACCGGAUAGGAGCUCCUGCUGCAUGGUGGGGGUUGGAGAGUUUCGGCGGUUGGGGAUGGACUCGCGGCAUAUCAGCUUGUUGGGGGGGUAGUGGCUUACCAAGGCUUUGGCGGGUAGCCUGCCUGAGAGGGUGAACGGGCAAGUUGCGGCGGACAGACGGGCCAGACCCCUUGGUGAGGCAGCAGGUGUGAAUUGUGCAGAAUGGGCGGAAGCCUGUUGCAGCACCGCCGCGAGCGGGAAGUCGGCCUUCGGGUUGUAAACCUGUUUGGCCGGUGACGUAGGUAGCGUGACGGUAACGGGUAAAGAAGCAACGGCUAACUACGUG